This 321-nucleotide ribosomal RNA is filed under the name uncultured methane-seep sediment bacterium SB-2. RNAcentral's name for it is "bacterial SSU rRNA". It matches the Rfam family "Bacterial small subunit ribosomal RNA", at positions 8 to 331 of the family's 1533-position model. The record is from RNAcentral.
AGAGUUUGAUCCUGGCUCAGAUUGAACGCUGGCGGCAGGCCUAACACAUGCAAGUCGAGCGGUAACAGAGGGUAGCUUGCUACUUUGCUGACGAGCGGCGGACGGGUGAGUAAUGCUUGGGAACAUGCCUUGAGGUGGGGGACAACAGUUGGAAACGACUGCUAAUACCGCAUAAUGUCUACGGACCAAAGGGGGCUUCGGCUCUCGCCUUUAGAUUGGCCCAAGUGGGAUUAGCUAGUUGGUGAGGUAAUGGCUCACCAAGGCGACGAUCCCUACUGGUUUGAGAAGAUGAUCAGCCCCACUGGGGACUGAGACACGGCG